RNAcentral lists this unclassified non-coding RNA (296 nucleotides) under uncultured fungus. Its description in RNAcentral is "partial contains small subunit ribosomal RNA, internal transcribed spacer 1, and 5.8S ribosomal RNA". The stretch from base 1 to 73 matches the Rfam family "Eukaryotic small subunit ribosomal RNA", at positions 1759 to 1831 of the family's 1831-position model. Lineage: Eukaryota; Fungi. The record is from RNAcentral.
GCAAACUUGGUCAUUUAGAGGAAGUAAAAGUCGUAACAAGGUCUCCGUAGGUGAACCUGCGGAGGGAUCAUUACAGAGUUCCUGCCCUUGCGGGUAGAUCUCCCACCCUAUGUUAUCGCUACCUUUGUUGCUUUGGUGGGCCGCCCGGCCUUGGUCAGGCUACCGGCUCCGGCUGGUAAGCGCCCGCCAGAGGAUCUCCAAAACUCUGCAUGUUAGUGUCGUCUGAGUACUAUAAUAAUAGUUUUAAAACUUUCAACAACGGAUCUCUUGGUUCUGGCAUCGAUGAAGAACGCAGC